AGUGGCAGGUGCGUCAGAAUCGGCGGGCGUCGGUGUCACCUUGGCGGCGCCGUCCACGGAUGAACCUCUCUUCUUGACGGUCUCAAUCACGCGCUUGCUGAUCCCCUUCGAGUAUAUCUGGAGGAUCUCCACCUCUUCGUCGACGGAGGUGGCGUGGGCGCCGUCCGCGGCCGCGGUGAUCCCCUUCGAGUUGAUCUGGAGGAUCUCCACCUCUUCGUCGACGGAGGUGGCGUGGGCGCCGUCCGCAGCCGCAGCCGUGGCCGCGGCAGCGAAGGCCUCCUCCUCGAUGAGGCGGCCAGUGGCGGAGGCCUCGUCGAGGGAGAGGACGCCGUAGCGCUUGGAGAGGAGGGAUGGAGAGGUGAGGGUCUCGAUCAGGUGCUGGAUCACCGCCUCCCGCGUCCGCUGCGACGGCGGCCAGAUGUUGAGGGAGACGGAUGGGAGCCUGGAGGCCGGAGGCGGAGGGGGCGUCGCGGAGGCCUCUGCCUCGUUGCUUCCCUUUGCGGGCGCUUCUCCGGACCCGUGCUUUGUC
This 529-nucleotide long non-coding RNA is filed under the name Musa acuminata (dwarf banana). RNAcentral describes it as "long non-coding RNA (MACU_LNC003485)". Lineage: Eukaryota; Viridiplantae; Streptophyta; Magnoliopsida; Zingiberales; Musaceae. The record is from RNAcentral.